GUGGAUAUAGCGCAGUUGGUUAGCGCGCCAGGUUGUGGCCCUGGAGGCCGUGGGUUCGAAUCCCACUAUUCACCCCA
RNAcentral lists this transfer RNA (77 nucleotides) under Bacteroides sp. RNAcentral's name for it is "tRNA-His". It matches the Rfam family "tRNA". From Rfam's summary of the family: Transfer RNA (tRNA) molecules are approximately 80 nucleotides in length. Their secondary structure includes four short double-helical elements and three loops (D, anti-codon, and T loops). The record is from RNAcentral. RNAcentral also lists the same sequence under 3 other names. Lineage: Bacteria; Pseudomonadati; Bacteroidota; Bacteroidia; Bacteroidales; Bacteroidaceae.